Molecule: ribosomal RNA, 1779 nt
Filed under: Staphylococcus epidermidis
Lineage: Bacteria; Bacillati; Bacillota; Bacilli; Caryophanales; Staphylococcaceae
Description: bacterial LSU rRNA
Rfam family: Bacterial large subunit ribosomal RNA
Source: RNAcentral
UCGAGUGACACUGCGCCGAAAAUGUACCGGGGCUAAACAUAUUACCGAAGCUGUGGAUUGUCCUUUGGACAAUGGUAGGAGAGCGUUCUAAGGGCGUCGAAGCAUGAUCGCAAGGACAUGUGGAGCGCUUAGAAGUGAGAAUGCCGGUGUGAGUAGCGAAAGACGGGUGAGAAUCCCGUCCACCGAUUGACUAAGGUUUCCAGAGGAAGGCUCGUCCGCUCUGGGUUAGUCGGGUCCUAAGCUGAGGCCGACAGGCGUAGGCGAUGGAUAACAGGUUGAUAUUCCUGUACCACCUAGUAUCGUUUUAAUCGAUGGGGGGACGCAGUAGGAUAGGCGAAGCGUGCUGUUGGAGUGCACGUCCAAGCAGUAAGGCUGAGUGUUAGGCAAAUCCGGCACUCAUAAGGCUGAGCUGUGAUGGGGAGAGGAAAUUGUUUCCUCGAGUCGUUGAUUUCACACUGCCGAGAAAAGCCUCUAGAUAGAUAACAGGUGCCCGUACCGCAAACCGACACAGGUAGUCAAGAUGAGAAUUCUAAGGUGAGCGAGCGAACUCUCGUUAAGGAACUCGGCAAAAUGACCCCGUAACUUCGGGAGAAGGGGUGCUCUUUAGGGUUCACGCCCAGAAGAGCCGCAGUGAAUAGGCCCAAGCGACUGUUUAUCAAAAACACAGGUCUCUGCUAAACCGUAAGGUGAUGUAUAGGGGCUGACGCCUGCCCGGUGCUGGAAGGUUAAGAGGAGUGGUUAGCUUCUGCGAAGCUACGAAUCGAAGCCCCAGUAAACGGCGGCCGUAACUAUAACGGUCCUAAGGUAGCGAAAUUCCUUGUCGGGUAAGUUCCGACCCGCACGAAAGGCGUAACGAUUUGGGCACUGUCUCAACGAGAGACUCGGUGAAAUCAUAGUACCUGUGAAGAUGCAGGUUACCCGCGACAGGACGGAAAGACCCCGUGGAGCUUUACUGUAGCCUGAUAUUGAAAUUCGGCACAGCUUGUACAGGAUAGGUAGGAGCCUUUGAAACGUGAGCGCUAGCUUACGUGGAGGCGUUGGUGGGAUACUACCCUAGCUGUGUUGGCUUUCUAACCCGCACCACUUAUCGUGGUGGGAGACAGUGUCAGGCGGGCAGUUUGACUGGGGCGGUCGCCUCCUAAAAGGUAACGGAGGCGCUCAAAGGUUCCCUCAGAAUGGUUGGAAAUCAUUCAUAGAGUGUAAAGGCAUAAGGGAGCUUGACUGCGAGACCUACAAGUCGAGCAGGGUCGAAAGACGGACUUAGUGAUCCGGUGGUUCCGCAUGGAAGGGCCAUCGCUCAACGGAUAAAAGCUACCCCGGGGAUAACAGGCUUAUCUCCCCCAAGAGUUCACAUCGACGGGGAGGUUUGGCACCUCGAUGUCGGCUCAUCGCAUCCUGGGGCUGUAGUCGGUCCCAAGGGUUGGGCUGUUCGCCCAUUAAAGCGGUACGCUAGCUGGGUUCAGAACGUCGUGAGACAGUUCGGUCCCUAUCCGUCGUGGGCGUAGGAAAUUUGAGAGGAGCUGUCCUUAGUACGAGAGGACCGGGAUGGACAUACCUCUGGUGUACCAGUUGUCGUGCCAACGGCAUAGCUGGGUAGCUAUGUAUGGACGGGAUAAGUGCUGAAAGCAUCUAAGCAUGAAGCCCCCCUCAAGAUGAGAUUUCCCAACUUCGGUUAUAAGAUCCCUCGAAGAUGACGAGGUUAAUAGGUUCGAGGUGGAAGCGUGGUGACACGUGGAGCUGACGAAUACUAAUCGAUCGAAGACUUAAUCAAUUUUUAAA